Molecule: non-coding RNA, 29 nt
Filed under: Rattus norvegicus (Norway rat)
Lineage: Eukaryota; Metazoa; Chordata; Mammalia; Rodentia; Muridae
Source: RNAcentral
UAUGUGUAAAGAGGAAACGACCCAACAAU